CCAGGGGCUGGUGUCUGCAGAGCUCAGCCUUCUGGACACAGAACAAGGUAUAGCAAAGGCGACUGAAAUUACCGGCCCCAGCUCGCGACCCAUGCAUGGACUGGCACAGGGGCAAGGUGGAGAGAAAGGGAAACGAGAGACCCAAAUCAAGACGUUCUCACUUCUCAGCAGGCUCAGUGCCCAACAUGUCAUAAGGAUUCAGCAAACAUUUGUAAAACGAGCGGAAGAGGACCAGGUCUGGAACAUGGAGCACUGCCAGUAAGACAGCCCAAUUUGCGAGUCCAAACUUUGGGCAGCGUCAAGGAAAGCCAAGGCCACCCCAGGGCGUGCAAAAUCAGAUUUUGUGCACUUCGUUGCAGACUUGAUUGACCGUGUUUGGGCGUUCACGUAAAGCCUUGCACUGACUUUCCUCUGGUGAUCAUAUGGAAGAAGCAGAGAACCAGUUUCCCGUGGCACCUUUGACUGAGGUGCAAACUUCUCCCUAAGGCUACCAAGAAAUCAGAGCACUAUGUUAUGGCUUUUGCCUCUCCUUGGAUUCCUAUCCAAUCAUGACGGAUUGGUGGAUUUGCCUAGUACCUCAGAAGUCAUCCAGUGCAUUUUCUCUCUCUGCCUUUGACUUGAAAAGAUCAGGUAGCCAGAGAGGGUAAGAAAGUUGCCCAAGGUCCUAUAACCAGUAAAUAACCAUGCUGGGGCUAAAAGGCAGUUCUUAUGAAUCCUCAUCUAGUUACUUCUGCCAUUCCUCAUUUAACUUCUUAUUAUAUUGUGCCGUCACACAUAAGACCAAUGAUUCCUGUUAUGGGCUGAAUUGUGUCUCCUCAAAUUCACAUGUUGA
This is a long non-coding RNA of Hipposideros armiger (great roundleaf bat), 832 nucleotides long. RefSeq lists it as uncharacterized. The record is from RefSeq and is a predicted model, not a curated record. The transcript is spliced from 4 exons. NCBI's taxonomy places the organism in Eukaryota, Metazoa, Chordata, Mammalia, Chiroptera, Hipposideridae.